This 74-nucleotide transfer RNA is filed under the name Gammaproteobacteria bacterium AqS3. It matches the Rfam family "tRNA". Rfam says of the family: Transfer RNA (tRNA) molecules are approximately 80 nucleotides in length. The record is from Rfam by way of RNAcentral. Lineage: Bacteria; Pseudomonadati; Pseudomonadota; Gammaproteobacteria.
GGCCUCGUAGCUCAAACGAAUAGAGCAUCCUUUUGACUGAGGGACGGUUGCGGGUUUGAAUCCCGCCGAGGCCG